This 253-nucleotide ribosomal RNA is filed under the name uncultured bacterium. RNAcentral describes it as "partial 16S ribosomal RNA". It matches the Rfam family "Bacterial small subunit ribosomal RNA", at positions 524 to 776 of the family's 1533-position model. The record is from RNAcentral.
UACGUAGGGGGCGAGCGUUGUCCGGAGUUACUGGGCGUAAAGGGCACGCAGGCGGUGCGGCGCGUUUCGCGUGACAGCGGAGGGCUUAACUCUCCGAGGAUGCGAAAGACGGCGGCACUUGAGGGCCAGAGAGGGACACGGAAUUCCGGGUGGAGUGGAGAAAUGCGUAGAGAUCCGGAGGAACACCGAAGGCGAAGGCAGUGUCCUGGCUGGUGACUGACGCUGAGGUGCGAAAGCUAGGGGAGCGAACGGG